This is a long non-coding RNA of Nerophis ophidion (straightnose pipefish), 5629 nucleotides long. RefSeq lists it as uncharacterized. The transcript is spliced from 2 exons. NCBI's taxonomy places the organism in Eukaryota, Metazoa, Chordata, Actinopteri, Syngnathiformes, Syngnathidae. The record is from RefSeq and is a predicted model, not a curated record.
GGUAGGCGCACUGACAACCUUCAAAUGUUACGCCACCUACUGUUUCCCCGCUUCUUCUUCUUCUGACGUUAACUGAUGGCAAAUAACGCGUCAUGUCCGCCGCCGUCUGAUAGAAAGCAUACAUUUUCAAAUCAUUUGAAAAUGAUGUCCUAGCCAAAAAGGGCUAUUUUCAGAUGGACAUAUAAGGAGAAAAUGAACUUGAUGUAAAUCCUGAGAUCGCGAGAUUUGGCACGGCACUCCAUGAAUCUGUCCAAUCAGAUUGGCUUUUCCUGAAAAACACGCAUGCGCAUUAAGUGGGCGGAUGUAAUGAUUUCGAUGGGAAGAAAUAAUAUUCAGCAUCGAAGGAAUAACAACUGAAAGGGGUCCGGUCCGAUGACCAUGGAUGAAGUACUGGCUGUCCAGAGUCGAGACCCAGGAUGGACCGCUCGUCGGGACCCAGGAUGGACCGCUCGCCUCUAUCGGUUGGGGACAUCUCUACGCUGCUGAUCCGCCUCCGCUUGGGAUGGUUUCCUGUGGACGGGACUCUUGCUGCUGUCUUGGAUCCGCUUUGAACUGAACUCUCGCGGCUGUGUUGGAGCCACUAUGGAUUGAACUUUCACAGUAUCAUGUUAGACCCGCUCCACAUCCAUUGCUUUCGGUCCCCUAGAGAGGGGGGUGGUUGCCCACAUCUGAGGUCCUCUCCAAGGUUUCUCAUAGUCAGCAUUGUCACUAGCGUCCCACUGGGUGUGAGUUUUCCUUGCCCUUUUGUGGGUUCUUCCGAGGAUGUUGUAGUCGUAAUGAUUUGUGCAAUCCUUUGAGACAUUUGUGAUUUGGGGCUAUAUAAAUAAACAUUGAUUGAUUGAUUGAUUUAUAUAGUAUUGGAGUGUCGAAAUGACAAAAGGAAAAGCUGGAAAACGAUGAAGAAGAACUGGUAAAGAAGUGGAAUCAAAUAAAAGAUCAAGAAGGACUGUAAAGUUGCUGAGUAGACUGGUAUAGUGGUGGUGCAUUAAACUGGCAGCAGAUAUAAUAUGUGAUACUUUCUUUUUCUUCCUGCAGUCAUCCCGUCCUGCAGCAUGCACCUAUGUGAAUGUGGAGAAUGACCAGCAAUGUCCAAGUAAGUUAUAUGUAUAUGCCUGUUCUUUCUUGAAGUCAAUUAGUUCUGAUUGAGAUUUACAGAUAAAAAGCUGUCCACAGUUUGUCAGGAACAAACAUGAAAAUAUUGCUUUCUUUGACCCUGAUUACAUUAGCACAUAUGAAGAAUGAAACUUCAAAUAGGAGUUAUCUCAGCAUGUGUAAUUCAUGUUUUUGGAACCUUUCACCUCCAAGUUAAAGCUGGUAGGUAACAUCAGGUCAUGACUAAGGAUGUAACAAUAUCAACAUUUCACGGUAUGAUAUCGUCAUAGUGUUAAAGCCAGGGUAAGAUAUUGUUACAAAAAUGUCAAAGUGUGUUAAAUGACGUGGGAGGAAUGUUUAGGAUAAACACACUUACUGUAAUUGAACACAAACAUCAUUUUCAUAUGUUGUAAUCAUAUUUAUCAUUAAAAACAGGUAUUUUAGGUGCAAAGGAAUGGUGCAGAAUUUCAAGUAACACACAAAAACCAACAUUUUCAAAUAAGUGUCUUUAAACUGACAUAAACAGUAAACAUCCAGUGUAACUAAUGUAGAACAAUAAUGUUUCUUUUGCCAAGAAACUAUACUGUGUGUCCGGUAUGUUUUUUUUUCAAUACAACUUGGUAUUAUUGUGGGUUUGAUGACCUUUUUAGCACAUUCAACAAUACUGCCAUUAUAAUGCAAACAGUGAUCAUUUUGGUCACAGUAACGGUGAUAUGACAUUUUGAUAUUGUUACAUCACUGCUGUUUAGUUGAGUGUUUUUAAACUUUGAACUUCCUAAGAAAUUGCCCUUUGCAGUCCAAAUUGUAUUAGUUUGUAGAAUACUGAUUCUUAAGAGUUAACUAAUAAUUUGACUUUUAAUCAUGUAAAUACCUCACAAAUGCAUAUUUUCCCUUGCUGACAUCUUGGUUUCACAUGAACGAUAUUUUCCAAAUAACGUUUCUAACAUAUAACUCAUUCUAAUAUAUUACUCCUAUUCCCUAACUUAUUGUAGACAUUGUGGUGUGUAGUGUCAGCAAAUGUCUUAUUUUGUGCAUGUCCACAUUUCCUCUGGUGAGCUGCAAGGGCUCUGGGUCGAUUUGGAAAUGGUCUGGAUGAACGUGGCAUGCUUUACCUUGCAGUAUGCAGACUUUGUUUAAGGUUCAACUAACACGACAGUUAUAGGCACAGAAAUAUUUCACAGCAACAAUUCCUCGGCUAACCUAAGCACAAACGUUCCCAUCACUCCUGCACACUUCCACUUUUUCGCCCUUCUAUAAUGUCCCGUUUGAACGUUGUUUUCCCACACGGCGGGUUUUCAUGGGAGAACCAGUUUACUUCUCAGAUGAGCCCACUUAAUAUUGUCAGAAAAAAACACAGCGACUGGUGUUCUCGUUUGAUAGCGUCACACAUCACGGCAUUAUUGUGACAAUUUUGAAAUCAAAAUAAGGUUAUAUUUACAAUAAUGUUGCAUCCCUCGUCAAGAUCCUUUCUCAUAGGUUUGGUUUGCUGUUGUGUAUUUACUAAUGAUUGGCAUUAGCAUCCACAACUUUCUUUUUAUAGUGUGUGUUGUAUUGUGAUGAGUUACAUUUAACACUGUGGAUGAUGUGUUACCACAAACACAGAAGAUACGUAAACAUGAACUACAAUGCGCUCAAGAUGUGGGGAAAAAGGAAAUGCAUUCCAUUAGCUGGAUUUGUAUAAUGUGUUCAAUUUAUGUCAACUUCCUUCUUGUUUUGCAUGUUUUUGUCUGUUUUUUUUUUCAAUGAUUUGAAUCUUUAGAGUUUUUUGGUUCCUCUUCUUUGUGUCAGGGGGUAGCAGCAGGGUAACACUGCAUGAGGCGGUGCCCCCUGAAGGAGCCCAAAACACUGCUCUUCAAAUGGAACACAUCCAACCUUCAGGUGACCGUGCAGGAUGUACCACUCUGGAACAUCAAGCCUCUCCCCACCUGCCAGGUACACCCACCGUCUUCUGUGGCUGAAUAAUGUUUUGCUGUGAAUUUUGUCACAAAGCAAAUCCUGCUCAAAUGUGACAAACUUUGGAGUGUAAGAAUGUGAGCGAUAUGCUGAGAUGUUAUACGUUUUGCCUUGUGACAAAAUGUUAUCAAAAAACCUUUAGUGAUUUGUAUUCUAUUUUAAUUUCAGCACAUGAAAAUAUUUCUACUUCUGACCAUCGAAGAGAAUGGAAAACCAUUUUCCAGAUCAGCCCUCAUACAUCCUCCUGAUGGCCUAACAACUGAAUGACAUGUCGAUGCUGAGUAUGAUCCAUUUCAAUCAUUUGAGGAAGCUCUCCCUGAUAUAGGGGAUUGGAUGUACAAUGACGGACAUACGUUUAAUGAAGGAUUUGAAGAUGGUUUGAGUGAGGAGUGUGCAGAAGAGUCCAAUUUCAAGGACACAACAGACAAACCAAUACAUGACAAUGCAUCAGAAACCAUGGCAGAGUGCCUUCUGAUCAGCAUGGGUUAUGUAAACUGUCCUAAAGUCACAGGUAAGGCCCUAAGCCAUAUGCUCAAAAUGUUCAAGUUGCUUUAUCCCGAUAGUCUGAACACAGACUGCUUAAACAGUGUGCAGAAGUUCCAAAACUUUUUUUUAUCCCACUCUGCAUCAUCGCCUACUAUAUUACAUAAAUCCUCCAAGAAUUGUUUUGGGCCAAUAGAAAGUAAACAAAUAAAAUGCCUGCUUUGUGGGACCAGUGUGUCAGAAGAAAGGUUCUAAUCCUUUUUUUAAAGUAUGUACAGAUUGAUUUCUUGUUUACCACAGCACAUUCAUGUGCCAAAUGGGCCCUCGUUGGUGAAUAUAAACAUGCAGGUUUUUCUUUGCUGCAAGAUAGUGUAACAUAUGAGACAUGCAUUCAUGUUAUUCCCCUAUUGGAAACCUCUGCAGUACAGUAGUAUUCUUGGAUGACAUGUUGGGUAAAGUUGUUUUCCUUGACUUCACAUCUAUGCCUGGCAUAGUGAUUGCAGUUCAUUUCCCCAACACACUUGAAAAGUUUGAAAUAAUGAAGAACUGAACUGGCCUAAGAAGCCACAAAUCAAAUCUUUAAUCAUUGUUAUAAAUGCUCUGAAAAUACACACUGAUGUGAUGUUGCCGUGGAUUCUGUAAAUAUGUACUGUAUAUGGAGUAUCAUUGUUGAUGAUGUUUUUGCAUUGUGUGUAAUAUUUCAGUGGCAAAUAUAUUACAUUUACUUGUUUAAUAAAGCCACUGUCUUUUUUAAUGAAUACAUAGGCCUACUAUGCUACUGCAUUUUAAUAUUAGUCCUUAUGAUGGUGGUUGGAGAGCCAAAUAUCUUCUGAAGUGGUACUUUGUUAAAAGAGUUUGAGAACCACUGCUCUAGAAAGUUCACAAAUGUUAAAAGCUCUUACAAAGUGUCUUGUGAUCAUAUCAGUAUUGUUUGGGUUCAGUUUUAAAUCUCACAAUUGUAGUCACUGAGUUACUGUACAUGACGUGUGGAUAAGAAAUCAACAAAUUAAGUCCAACUUUAUUUAAAUAAACCAUUUAGAUUACAGACCAUAUAUCCAUAUUGUCUGAAUUCAUUAUUUUCUCCCAAUGUUGGCAUAAGAUCAACUGGAAUAUGAUUGAGGUAUAACUAAAUUGAGCCCAUUAAAAUGCAUUUUUUUAGAAAACGGGUAUAUCUAACAACUCAAAUAGUGAGCAGUGAGAGACAAAACCAAGUAUAUCUCUCACUGAGACAUCAUUGAGACAUAUUGAAACCAAUACUCAUCAAUUGUCUUUUUGCCGAAAUAGAAAAGAGACAUCUGAGAACUCAAACAGUGAGUAGUGAGAAACAAAACCAGGUGUUUCUCUCACUGAGUCAUAAUUGAGACAUAUUGGAGACCAGCUCAUUCAUCUCUCAUUUUGGUCUUAGUUGAAAUGGGGAAAAGAGAUAACUAUUAGACAACUAUGAGAUCUCUCAUAGUGCUCACUGUGAGCCUUAUUUCUCAGGAGAUACAUUUGAGAAGAAUGAGAAAACUACUUUGGUCUCCAUUAGUGCUCUUUUAUGUCUAGGAGAUAGAUAUAAGACAUACAUGAGAUCUCAUCUUCAAUUUUGCUUUGCUAUGGGAAACAAGUGUUUGAUGAGCAUUCCUCAACUUUUUCGGUCUUUUUUGACACUCGUGCCAGCUUUUUUUAAGCUUGUUGCAGGCAUCAAAUUCCAAAAUGAGCUAAUAUUUGCAAAAAAAAAAGUUUCUCAGAUCCAACAUCAAAUAUCUUGUCUUUGCAGUCUAUUCAAUUGAAUAUAAGUUAAAAAGGAUUUACAAAUCAUUGUAUUCUGUUUUUAUUUACCAUUUACACAACGUGCUACUUCACUGGUUUGGGGUUUUGUACAUGUUGACAGUACAUUGCAGUGUUAUUUUGUUACAGCCGUGCCCACUGUGUGAAGUACUUUUGCAAGACUCCUAGCAAUAAUAUUACACUUCACCAAAGAGCCUGCUGUAAAAGAAAUGACCAUUGAAUGAAGAUACAUACUCAGGUCACCGUGAUCUGAAAAGGAGAGUGAAGAAUGUUUUUGUAUUCCCCAGAUUCUAAUCAUCUUGGAUGAAUAAACAAGCAAUUCCUAAUUUCA